This 491-nucleotide ribosomal RNA is filed under the name uncultured bacterium. RNAcentral describes it as "partial 16S ribosomal RNA". It matches the Rfam family "Bacterial small subunit ribosomal RNA", at positions 29 to 507 of the family's 1533-position model. The record is from RNAcentral.
AGUGAACGCUGGCGGUAGGCCUAACACAUGCAAGUCGAACGGCAGCACAGUAAGAGCUUGCUCUUACGGGUGGCGAGUGGCGGACGGGUGAGGAAUACAUCGGAAUCUACUUUUUCGUGGGGGAUAACGUAGGGAAACUUACGCUAAUACCGCAUACGACCUACGGUGAAAGCAAGGGAACUUCGGACCUUGCGCGAUUGAAUGAGCCGAUGUCGGAUUAGCUAGUUGGCGGGGUAAAGGCCCACCAAGGCGACGAUCCGUAGCUGGUCUGAGAGGAUGAUCAGCCACACUGGAACUGAGACACGGUCCAGACUCCUACGGGAGGCAGCAGUGGGGAAUAUUGGACAAUGGGCGCAAGCCUGAUCCAGCCAUACCGCGUGGGUGAAGAAGGCCUUCGGGUUGUAAAGCCCUUUUGUUGGGAAAGAAAAGCAGCAGGUUAAUACCCCGCUGUUCUGACGGUACCCAAAGAAUAAGCACCGGCUAACUUCGUG